Molecule: ribosomal RNA, 548 nt
Filed under: uncultured Glomeromycotina
Lineage: Eukaryota; Fungi; Glomeromycota
Description: SSU rRNA
Rfam family: Eukaryotic small subunit ribosomal RNA
Source: RNAcentral
UUGGAGGGCAAGUCUGGUGCCAGCAGCCGCGGUAAUUCCAGCUCCAAUAGCGUAUAUUAAAGUUGUUGCAGUUAAAAAGCUCGUAGUUGAAUUUCGGGAUUCUACCGUUGGUCGGACUAACAAGUCUGUACUGGUGUGUAGAAUUUCUACCUUCUGGGGAACUAUCAUGUUAUUAAUUUAGCGUGGUGGGAAACCAGGACCUUUACCUUGAAAAAAUUAGAGUGUUCAAAGCAGGCUUACGUCUGAAUACAUUAGCAUGGAAUAAUAGAAUAGGACGGUGGUCCUGUUUUGUUGGUUUCUGAAUCACCGUAAUGAUUAAUAGGGAUAGUUGGGGGCAUUAGUAUUCAAUUGUCAGAGGUGAAAUUCUUGGAUUUAUUGAAGACUAACUACUGCGAAAGCAUUUGCCAAGGAUGUUUUCAUUAAUCAAGAACGAAAGUUAGGGGAUCGAAGACGAUCAGAUACCGUCGUAGUCUUAACCAUAAACUAUGCCGACUAGGAAUCAGACGAUGUUAAUUUUUUAAUGACUCGUUCGGCGCCUUACGGGAAAC